This 508-nucleotide ribosomal RNA is filed under the name uncultured bacterium. RNAcentral describes it as "partial 16S ribosomal RNA". It matches the Rfam family "Bacterial small subunit ribosomal RNA", at positions 28 to 507 of the family's 1533-position model. The record is from RNAcentral.
GACGAACGCUGGCGGCGUGCCUAAUACAUGCAAGUCGAACGCUUCUUUCCUCCCGAGUGCUUGCACUCAAUUGGAAAGAGGAGUGGCGGACGGGUGAGUAACACGUGGGUAACCUACCCAUCAGAGGGGGAUAACACUUGGAAACAGGUGCUAAUACCGCAUAACAGUUUAUGCCGCAUGGCAUAAGAGUGAAAGGCGCUUUCGGGUGUCGCUGAUGGAUGGACCCGCGGUGCAUUAGCUAGUUGGUGAGGUAACGGCUCACCAAGGCCACGAUGCAUAGCCGACCUGAGAGGGUGAUCGGCCACACUGGGACUGAGACACGGCCCAGACUCCUACGGGAGGCAGCAGUAGGGAAUCUUCGGCAAUGGACGAAAGUCUGACCGAGCAACGCCGCGUGAGUGAAGAAGGUUUUCGGAUCGUAAAACUCUGUAGUUAGAGAAGAACAAGGACGUUAGUAACUGAACGUCCCCUGACGGUAUCUAACCAGAAAGCCACGGCUAACUACGUG